UCAACCCUGCAGCGUUCGGGAUGCCGCGCUCCGUUUUGGGCCAACACUUUUUGAACGGGUUCCUUAAUUUUCGAAAUAAUGCGAUAGGCGACGGCCAAGGCUGCGUUUCGGAACAGGUCAACCCACCUGCUCAGGCAGGUUCAAAACCAGGCGGCGAGCGGCGCUGCGGGGCUUUU
Molecule: non-coding RNA, 176 nt
Filed under: Anaerolineaceae bacterium oral taxon 439
Lineage: Bacteria; Bacillati; Chloroflexota; Anaerolineae; Anaerolineales; Anaerolineaceae
Description: 6S RNA
Rfam family: 6S / SsrS RNA
About the family: E. coli 6S RNA was the first non coding RNA to be sequenced, but its function was unknown until recently.
Source: RNAcentral